CUUGCUCCCGGUGGCGUUUGGCGGACGGGUGAGUAACACGUAGGAAUCUGCCUAGUAGUGGGGGAUAACUUGGGGAAACUCAAGCUAAUACCGCAUACGCUCUACGGAGGAAAGCGGGGGAUCUUCGGACCUCGCGCUAUUAGAUGAGCCUGCGUCCGAUUAGCUAGUUGGUGGGGUAAAGGCCCACCAAGGCGACGAUCGGUAGCUGGUCUGAGAGGACGAUCAGCCACACUGGAACUGAGACACGGUCCAGACUCCUACGGGAGGCAGCAGUGGGGAAUAUUGGACAAUGGGCGCAAGCCUGAUCCAGCAAUGCCGCGUGUGUGAAGAAGGCCUGCGGGUUGUAAAGCACUUUAAGCAGGGAAGAAUGGACUAAGGCUAAUAUCCUUGGUCAGUGACGUUACCUGCAGAAUAAGCACCGGCUAACUCCGUGCCAGCAGCCGCGGUAAUACGGAGGGUGCGAGCGUUAAUCGGAAUUACUGGGCGUAAAGCGCGCGUAGGCGGUUGGCUAAGUUUGCUGUGAAAGCCCCGGGCUUAACCUGGGAACUGCAGUGGAUACUGGUUGGCUAGAGUAUGGUAGAGGGUAGUGGAAUUUCCGGUGUAGCAGUGAAAUGCGUAGAGAUGUGGAGGAACACCGAUGGCGAAGGCAGCCCCCUGGGUCGACACUGACGCUCAUGCACGAAAGCGUGAGGAGCAAACAGGAUUAGAUACCCUGGUAGUCCACGCCCUAAACGAUGCGAACUAGGUGUUGGGGAAGGAGACUUCUUUAGUACCGCAGCUAACGCGUGAAGUUCGCCGCCUGGGGAGUACGGUCGCAAGAUUAAAACUCAAAGGAAUUGACGGGGCCCCGCACAAGCAGCGGAGCAUGCGGCUUAAUUCGACGCAACGCGAAGAACCUUACCAAGGCUUGACAUAUAGCGAAAAGUGGCAGAGAUGUCAUGUCCGCAAGGGCGCUAUACAGGUGGUGCAUGGUUGUCGUCAGCUCGUGUCGUGAGAUGUUGGGUUAAGUCCCGCAACGAGCGCAACCCUCGUUCUGUGUUACCAGCAUUUAGUUGGGGACUCACAGGAGACUGCCGGGGUCAACUCGGAGGAAGGUGGGGAUGACGUCAAAUCAUCAUGCCCCUUAUGUCUUGGGCUGCACGCAUGCUACAAUGGCCGGUACAAAGUGCUGCGAAAUCGUAAGAUUGAGCGAAUCACAUAAAGCCGUCUCAGUUCGGAUUGAGUCUACACUCGACCUCAUGAAGUC
This 1246-nucleotide ribosomal RNA is filed under the name uncultured bacterium. RNAcentral describes it as "bacterial SSU rRNA". It matches the Rfam family "Bacterial small subunit ribosomal RNA", at positions 79 to 1327 of the family's 1533-position model. The record is from RNAcentral.